ACGUAGGGGGCGAGCGUUGUCCGAAUUCACUGGGCGUAAAGCGCGCGUAGGCGGGUUAUUAAGUUGGUGGUGAAAUCCCGAGGCUCAACCUCGGAACUGCCGUCAAAACUGAUAGCCUAGAGGUUUGGAGAGGGAACUGGAAUUCCAGGUGUAGAGGUGAAAUUCGUAGAUAUCAGGAGGAACACCGGUGGCGAAGGCGACUUUCUGGCCAUAUCCUGACGCUGAGGUGCGAGAGCUUGGGUAGCGAACGG
This 251-nucleotide ribosomal RNA is filed under the name uncultured prokaryote. RNAcentral describes it as "partial 16S rRNA". It matches the Rfam family "Bacterial small subunit ribosomal RNA", at positions 525 to 775 of the family's 1533-position model. The record is from RNAcentral.